GGGGCCGUAAAGGUUUCGACAGGGGCUUUGAACAGCCGGAAGCGAGCAGAGGUGCGGUACCUCUUUAAAAGCCGCAAAUUUUAAAAUUAAACGACAACUCUAAAGUUGCUCUUGCUGCUUAAUUAAGCAGCCGUCCGACCCGGUAAUACCGCGAACCGGCAAGGGCGUCGAUUAGCGGUGAACGUGAACCGAGUAAUGCCGAUAGCUCGGUCAUGACUUAUCGGCUACUAAGCACAAAAGCGUGUCGGUUUGCUUUUGUGUAAGGGAAUGUAGAUAACCGACUGCGCUCGGAGAUGCUGACUCGGAUAGGCUUUUGGACAGGGGUUCGACUCCCCUCGGCUCCACCA
This 347-nucleotide transfer-messenger RNA is filed under the name Clostridia bacterium. It matches the Rfam family "transfer-messenger RNA". Rfam says of the family: Bacterial tmRNA, also known as 10Sa RNA or SsrA, is named for its dual tRNA and mRNA-like properties. Its role is to liberate the mRNA from a stalled ribosome. Lineage: Bacteria; Bacillati; Bacillota; Clostridia. RNAcentral also lists the same sequence under 1 other name. The record is from RNAcentral.